This 28-nucleotide non-coding RNA is filed under the name Cricetulus griseus (Chinese hamster). Lineage: Eukaryota; Metazoa; Chordata; Mammalia; Rodentia; Cricetidae. The record is from RNAcentral.
UCUGGAGGGUUUUCAAGAGCUCUGGCCC